Molecule: long non-coding RNA, 635 nt
Filed under: Olea europaea subsp. europaea
Lineage: Eukaryota; Viridiplantae; Streptophyta; Magnoliopsida; Lamiales; Oleaceae
Source: RNAcentral
GUUUUAUUUCAAAGCUUCAAAAGUUAUUACAUGCAACUUUUUACGUGAAAGAUCUCGACCAACUCACAUACUUCUUAGGACUCGAAGUUCAUCAUCAACCCAAUGGUAUUUUCUUAAACCAGCAUAAGUAUAUUCAGGAUCUUAUUGCGUUAGCUGGGUUGGAGAAGUCUUCUUCUGUGGAUACUCCUAUGGAAGUCAAUGUAAAGUAUCGGAAAGAUGAAGGGGAUCUUCUAGACGAUCCUACAUUAUAUCGUCGCCUUGUUGGGAGUCUCAUCUAUUUGACUACCACUCGCCCAGAUAUCUCUUAUGCCGUUCACCAGGUCAGCCAGUUUAUGUCUUCACCUCGACAUCUUCAUCUUGCGGCCGUUCAUCGUAUUAUUCGCUAUAUUCGUGGAUCAUCCACUCGUGGGUUAUUUUUUCCUAAAGGGUCGUUUCUUCAGCUUCCUGCCUACAGUGAUGUUGAUUGGGCUGGAUGUCCGGAUACUCGUCGUUCUACUACGGGUUGGUGUAUGUUUUUGGGUGAUGCAUUAAUCUCUUGAAAAUGUAAGAAACAAGAUCGCGUCUCUAAAUCAUCUACUGAGGCUGAGUAUCGUGCUAUGUCUACAGCUUGUUCUGAGAUUAUUUGGUUACGAGGU